GGAAAAUUAGGGAACGUCCAGGUAAGUACAACCUUGUGAAAGUGAGGAGUUGGAAAUUCUCACUCCGAGACCUACAGUGCAGAAAAAUGUCAUUUUUAUUUGGAAUUUAGACAUUUUCAAAACUCUAAUGACAGAGUCUUCUCACGGAGAUAAGGAAAAGGAAGUUUUGUUGGAAGAAAUUGAUGACUUGGUACUAGAUUUAGCAGAAACACAUUUUAACUACAAAGAUUUGCAGCAUUAUGAAAUGAAGAAUGUUUAUGACAAUCCUCUGAUAGAUACUGGACAGAAUGAGAAACAAUCUAAUUUUUCUGAUGACCCAGAAAAAUAUUGUCACCAGACUAAUGACACCCUGUCAGUGGAAGAAAAACAAAGAUUCAACAAACUAGCUUCUUUAUGUAGAAAAGUUAAAAAAUCUUAUUGUGAGAAAUGUAGGCAGAAUAUUGAUGGUGUUAAUAUUAAAGAAUACAGUUAAAGGGAACCACAGACUGGAUAAUCUUGACAUUAGUAUAACAGAACAGUACUAAGUAUAGAAAGUCCCUAAACAGUAUAACAUGAAAAAGGCUUAGCUCAUCAGAUAAAAAAAAGUGUAUAAUGCUUGAAAUACUUGCCAGCGAACGUUCAGCGUGCACAAAUUAAAUUGUUACUAUGUGCAAUACAUAGUAAUACAUACUAAAGAAAGUAAUUUAAGCUUGGUGGUACAAAACAUCAUUAAAAUCCCACAAAUGUUGGACACAUGUUAAAUAUUAUAGAUUUAUGUUUCCUUCAAUUUGCUAAAAAGAAAUGCCAGGUGGUUCACAGUAAUAAAAUUUUGUAUGUGGAUGCUUAAUGUUAAGGUGGUACCUAACACUACAGGGAGAUAACUCUGUAAAAUCAGCUUAAUGUUUUAAAUACGUUGUUUUGUUAAGGGAAUAUUAAGAUUCUCAAUGAUCAAAAUUUGUGUUUGUCAAACUGCUAUAUAACCAGUGUAAUUUUUCUGAUAAAACGGUUGGUUCAAAUUUUCUAAAUUUUUUAUAUUUUUGUCAAUGAAUCAAAGUUAGUACUUUGUAAAAAUUUUAAGAAAAUUAAACGAGCCAAAUUAAUUUGAGUCAAAGUGUUGGGUACCACCUUAAGUAACAGUACAUGUACAUUUCAAUGUUUAUUUUGAGGCUCUAUAGAAACUUCCUGCAAUUUUUUAUGUAUGUGUCUGUCCCAAGUGAUUAAAUUUUUUUAUACAAUGGUUUCGGAAAGGGAUAAAUUUCCAUAGAAUUAGAGAAUUAUAUAUAAAAUAACACUGUAAAAGAUUUGUAGGCAUCAUACCUAUGUAAUUAUUGUAUAUUAUACAGGAUCAAGAACUAUUUAGAUAUAUUUUGUACAUCCUUCAAGUUGUUAUUCAAGACAAAAUUACACAGAUACCACCAUUCCACAGAAUAUGGAAUUUAGACAUUGAUGGUUAGAGUUAAAGCCAUCUCAUAUUACAAUUGAGGAUGAAGAUAUCUUUUAUAUAAGGCCAUCUGAUAUAAUCAAUUUGCAGCUAUCAAAAGUUAAAAUUGCCAAACAAAUUCAAAGAUAUAUAUGUCUGUCUGUCAAAUCCUCCAUAUAUGUCUUGUAAGGACAACUCCUCUUGAACCAAUGGACUGAUGAGUUUAAUAUUUUCACAGUUGAAAUACAACCUGAGCACAUGUAUGAAGGAAAAUAAGGUCAUGAUGGUCCAAAAUAUUUAAAUGGAAAUAAUUAUAAUCUUAGUUUAAUAUUGCAAUAUAUGUCAACACUGGUCGUGUAAACACAACUCCUCAUAAAUGGCAUGCUCGGUAUUGAUGAAACAUUACUCAUAAUGUUGCAUGCAAUAAGCAAUUGAGAUUGUGCACAAUGGAAAAUAAUUGUGGUUUAAAAUAUUUCAAGGGAGAUAAAUUUACAUCGCAAUAUGUUGCAACAGGUCUUAUGUAAGAUCAUGCAACCCUCUUUAAUGGCUUGAAUGAAAUUGAUCAAACUUUUUACAGUUGCAGUAUACAAUCAUGGAAUAAUAACUGUUUAAGUCCCUUUAUAACUUGCAAAAGCAAUGAAUUUGUGUUCUUAUAAUUUUGUUUACAGUGUAGCAGAUGUUCAUCUGUACAUUUGUCUGUUCGUCCGUAAAAACAUGUUUUUAUGCUACAUAGCUAAAAAUAAAAAUGUGAGAGAAAAAAUCUAGCUAUUCUAUAAAAUUCCACAUAAUAUAAACAAUUUUUAAUAACACAGUUAGUCAGGCUCACUGCAGUAGAAACAGUGCCUUACAAGAUAGUCAGUCUCAGUACAGUAGAAGCAGUGUCUUACAAGAUAGUCAGUCUCAGUACAGUAGAAACUGUGUCUUUCAAGAUAGUCAGUCUCAGUACAGUAGAAGCAGUGCCUAACAAGAUAGUCAGUCUCAGUACAGUAGAAGCAGUGUCUUUCAAGAUAGUCAGUCUCAGUACAGUAG
Molecule: RNA transcript, 2428 nt
Organism: Mytilus trossulus (common blue mussel)
Lineage: Eukaryota; Metazoa; Mollusca; Bivalvia; Mytilida; Mytilidae
Exons: 7
Source: RefSeq, a predicted model, not a curated record